This is a long non-coding RNA of Sycon ciliatum, 645 nucleotides long. RefSeq lists it as uncharacterized. The record is from RefSeq and is a predicted model, not a curated record. The transcript has 2 exons. NCBI's taxonomy places the organism in Eukaryota, Metazoa, Porifera, Calcarea, Leucosolenida, Sycettidae.
GUCGUCAAAUACCGGGAGUGGAAACGAGAUGCGCGAGCGUGAUCCAUGCUCGCCUCGCGCUGGAUCAUGGAGCACGCCGAUUUUUUUCAAAUAAUCUUUUUUGUGCCACAUUCACCAAUUCCGCGGGAUUUUCAAAAUGUCAAAAUUUAUUUUGGUUCUUCCUGCAAGCGGAGCAGUUUAGACGUCUCCAUACAUAAACCUCGUCAGAUUUCCGCUUCCCUUUUGUAGCACUCUUCGUCGUGGAUUCGUCGGCAGUGCAUGGUCAUGCUGGACAGGGAGAUAUCGGUAGCCAUUUUACGGCUGAUGUUUUAGGAACUUGGGCGAGAGACCUGGAGACCACAUCAGCUGUGUUUUCAAGUUUAAUUUGCGGUACAGUAGUGGCAAGAAAGCCGUCCAUCAUGCCAGCAUCAUCCGCAGCAGCAACAGCAGCAGCACCCCAGCCCACCGCCAUAGUCAACUGCACUGCAGAGACACCUAAAAGAUACCAUUGUGGUUGGUGUGUUGUUGCGGUGAGAAGAGAACUGGAAGCUAGCAGAAAGCCUGAGUUAACUAGCCUCAAGCCGGUGUUGGCGACUUUCGGCCAUGAAAUUCUGGCCAACAUGUCUCCGAAUCUACCAAACUUUGAAAAGAUAAUUGAAUCUGAGA